This 2923-nucleotide ribosomal RNA is filed under the name Staphylococcus aureus. Its description in RNAcentral is "23S ribosomal RNA". It matches the Rfam family "Bacterial large subunit ribosomal RNA". The record is from RNAcentral. Lineage: Bacteria; Bacillati; Bacillota; Bacilli; Caryophanales; Staphylococcaceae.
GAUUAAGUUAUUAAGGGCGCACGGUGGAUGCCUUGGCACUAGAAGCCGAUGAAGGACGUUACUAACGACGAUAUGCUUUGGGGAGCUGUAAGUAAGCUUUGAUCCAGAGAUUUCCGAAUGGGGAAACCCAGCAUGAGUUAUGUCAUGUUAUCGAUAUGUGAAUACAUAGCAUAUCAGAAGGCACACCCGGAGAACUGAAACAUCUUAGUACCCGGAGGAAGAGAAAGAAAAUUCGAUUCCCUUAGUAGCGGCGAGCGAAACGGGAAGAGCCCAAACCAACAAGCUUGCUUGUUGGGGUUGUAGGACACUCUAUACGGAGUUACAAAGGACGACAUUAGACGAAUCAUCUGGAAAGAUGAAUCAAAGAAGGUAAUAAUCCUGUAGUCGAAAAUGUUGUCUCUCUUGAGUGGAUCCUGAGUACGACGGAGCACGUGAAAUUCCGUCGGAAUCUGGGAGGACCAUCUCCUAAGGCUAAAUACUCUCUAGUGACCGAUAGUGAACCAGUACCGUGAGGGAAAGGUGAAAAGCACCCCGGAAGGGGAGUGAAAUAGAACCUGAAACCGUGUGCUUACAAGUAGUCAGAGCCCGUUAAUGGGUGAUGGCGUGCCUUUUGUAGAAUGAACCGGCGAGUUACGAUUUGAUGCAAGGUUAAGCAGUAAAUGUGGAGCCGUAGCGAAAGCGAGUCUGAAUAGGGCGUUUAGUAUUUGGUCGUAGACCCGAAACCAGGUGAUCUACCCUUGGUCAGGUUGAAGUUCAGGUAACACUGAAUGGAGGACCGAACCGACUUACGUUGAAAAGUGAGCGGAUGAACUGAGGGUAGCGGAGAAAUUCCAAUCGAACCUGGAGAUAGCUGGUUCUCUCCGAAAUAGCUUUAGGGCUAGCCUCAAGUGAUGAUUAUUGGAGGUAGAGCACUGUUUGGACGAGGGGCCCCUCUCGGGUUACCGAAUUCAGACAAACUCCGAAUGCCAAUUAAUUUAACUUGGGAGUCAGAACAUGGGUGAUAAGGUCCGUGUUCGAAAGGGAAACAGCCCAGACCACCAGCUAAGGUCCCAAAAUAUAUGUUAAGUGGAAAAGGAUGUGGCGUUGCCCAGACAACUAGGAUGUUGGCUUAGAAGCAGCCAUCAUUUAAAGAGUGCGUAAUAGCUCACUAGUCGAGUGACACUGCGCCGAAAAUGUACCGGGGCUAAACAUAUUACCGAAGCUGUGGAUUGUCCUUUGGACAAUGGUAGGAGAGCGUUCUAAGGGCGUUGAAGCAUGAUCGUAAGGACAUGUGGAGCGCUUAGAAGUGAGAAUGCCGGUGUGAGUAGCGAAAGACGGGUGAGAAUCCCGUCCACCGAUUGACUAAGGUUUCCAGAGGAAGGCUCGUCCGCUCUGGGUUAGUCGGGUCCUAAGCUGAGGCCGACAGGCGUAGGCGAUGGAUAACAGGUUGAUAUUCCUGUACCACCUAUAAUCGUUUUAAUCGAUGGGGGGACGCAGUAGGAUAGGCGAAGCGUGCGAUUGGAUUGCACGUCUAAGCAGUAAGGCUGAGUAUUAGGCAAAUCCGGUACUCAUUAAGGCUGAGCUGUGAUGGGGAGAAGACAUUGUGUCUUCGAGUCGUUGAUUUCACACUGCCGAGAAAAGCCUCUAGAUAGAAAAUAGGUGCCCGUACCGCAAACCGACACAGGUAGUCAAGAUGAGAAUUCUAAGGUGAGCGAGCGAACUCUCGUUAAGGAACUCGGCAAAAUGACCCCGUAACUUCGGGAGAAGGGGUGCUCUUUAGGGUUAACGCCCAGAAGAGCCGCAGUGAAUAGGCCCAAGCGACUGUUUAUCAAAAACACAGGUCUCUGCUAAACCGUAAGGUGAUGUAUAGGGGCUGACGCCUGCCCGGUGCUGGAAGGUUAAGAGGAGUGGUUAGCUUCUGCGAAGCUACGAAUCGAAGCCCCAGUAAACGGCGGCCGUAACUAUAACGGUCCUAAGGUAGCGAAAUUCCUUGUCGGGUAAGUUCCGACCCGCACGAAAGGCGUAACGAUUUGGGCACUGUCUCAACGAGAGACUCGGUGAAAUCAUAGUACCUGUGAAGAUGCAGGUUACCCGCGACAGGACGGAAAGACCCCGUGGAGCUUUACUGUAGCCUGAUAUUGAAAUUCGGCACAGCUUGUACAGGAUAGGUAGGAGCCUUUGAAACGUGAGCGCUAGCUUACGUGGAGGCGCUGGUGGGAUACUACCCUAGCUGUGUUGGCUUUCUAACCCGCACCACUUAUCGUGGUGGGAGACAGUGUCAGGCGGGCAGUUUGACUGGGGCGGUCGCCUCCUAAAAGGUAACGGAGGCGCUCAAAGGUUCCCUCAGAAUGGUUGGAAAUCAUUCAUAGAGUGUAAAGGCAUAAGGGAGCUUGACUGCGAGACCUACAAGUCGAGCAGGGUCGAAAGACGGACUUAGUGAUCCGGUGGUUCCGCAUGGAAGGGCCAUCGCUCAACGGAUAAAAGCUACCCCGGGGAUAACAGGCUUAUCUCCCCCAAGAGUUCACAUCGACGGGGAGGUUUGGCACCUCGAUGUCGGCUCAUCGCAUCCUGGGGCUGUAGUCGGUCCCAAGGGUUGGGCUGUUCGCCCAUUAAAGCGGUACGCGAGCUGGGUUCAGAACGUCGUGAGACAGUUCGGUCCCUAUCCGUCGUGGGCGUAGGAAAUUUGAGAGGAGCUGUCCUUAGUACGAGAGGACCGGGAUGGACAUACCUCUGGUGUACCAGUUGUCGUGCCAACGGCAUAGCUGGGUAGCUAUGUGUGGACGGGAUAAGUGCUGAAAGCAUCUAAGCAUGAAGCCACCCUCAAGAUGAGAUUUCCCAACUUCGGUUAUAAGAUCCCUCAAAGAUGAUGAGGUUAAUAGGUUCGAGGUGGAAGCAUGGUGACAUGUGGAGCUGACGAAUACUAAUCGAUCGAAGACUUAAUCAA